UAUAUGAAGCGGUUCAGUGCG
This 21-nucleotide non-coding RNA is filed under the name Arabidopsis thaliana (thale cress). Lineage: Eukaryota; Viridiplantae; Streptophyta; Magnoliopsida; Brassicales; Brassicaceae. The record is from RNAcentral.